UGGACGCAAGUCUGACGGAGCAACGCCGCGUGAGUGAUGAAGGUUUUCGGAUCGUAAAGCUCUGUUGCCAGGGAAGAACGCUUAGGAGAGUAACUGCUCUUAAGGUGACGGUACCUGAGAAGAAAGCCCCGGCUAACUACGUGCCAGCAGCCGCGGUAAUACAUAGGGGGCAAGCGUUGUCCGGAAUUAUUGGGCGUAAAGCGCGCGCAGGCGGCUUUGUAAGUCUGGUGUUUAAACCUAGGGCUCAACCCUGGGUCGCAUUGGAAACUGCAAGGCUUGAGUGCAGAAGAGGAGAGUGGAAUUCCACGUGUAGCGGUGAAAUGCGUAGAUAUUAGGAGGAACACCAGUGGCGAAGGCGACUUUCUGGACUGUGUCUGACACUGAGGCGCGAAAGCCAGGGUAGUGAACGGGAUUAGAUACCCCGGUAAUCCUGGCCGUAAACGAUGGGUACUAGGUGUUGGGGGUAUCGACCCCUCCAGUGCCGGAGUUAACGCAAUAAGUACCCCGCCUGGGGAGUACG
RNAcentral lists this ribosomal RNA (520 nucleotides) under uncultured bacterium. RNAcentral describes it as "bacterial SSU rRNA". It matches the Rfam family "Bacterial small subunit ribosomal RNA", at positions 372 to 884 of the family's 1533-position model. The record is from RNAcentral.